RNAcentral lists this ribosomal RNA (422 nucleotides) under uncultured bacterium. Its description in RNAcentral is "bacterial SSU rRNA". It matches the Rfam family "Bacterial small subunit ribosomal RNA", at positions 608 to 1019 of the family's 1533-position model. The record is from RNAcentral.
CUCAACCGGGGGAAUGCGUUCGAUACUGUCAGACUAGAGUGCGGAAGAGGAUAGUGGAAUUCCUGGUGUAGCGGUGAAAUGCGUAGAUAUCAGGAGGAACACCAGUGGCGAAGGCGGCUAUCUGGUCCGCUACUGACACUGAGGCGCGAAAGCGUGGGGAGCGAACGGGAUUAGAUACCCCGGUAGUCCACGCCGUAAACGUUGGAUACUAGGUGUGGGAGGAUCUACCCCUUCCGUGCCGCAGCUAACGCAUUAAGUAUCCCGCCUGGGGAGUACGGUCGCAAGACUGAAACUCAAAGGAAUUGACGGGGGCCCGCACAAGCGGUGGAGCAUGCGGAUUAAUUCGAUGCAACGCGAAGAACCUUACCAGGACUUGACAUCACCGCAAGGAACCGUGCUCCUGUAGAAAUAUGGGUGCUUAG